This 573-nucleotide long non-coding RNA is filed under the name Heterocephalus glaber (naked mole-rat). RNAcentral's name for it is "lncRNA (ENSHGLG00000044559.1)". The record is from RNAcentral. Lineage: Eukaryota; Metazoa; Chordata; Mammalia; Rodentia; Bathyergidae.
GAAACCACUGAGCUAAAUCCCCGGCCAGCUAGAGGCUUUUUAGAUCAUCAGUUCUAAGUGACUAGGUCACUCCCCGCCCCCUCCUCCAAGUGUGUUUCCAAAGAUUUAGAGAAGAAGGAGUUUUCAGGGAGCACUCAUAAGAGCAAAGUGGAGGGUUGAGUGUGAUCUGGCUGGUAGACAGAAGAUACAAAGAUGCCAAGGGGACAUAGGACAAAGUAUUCCUAUAGCAUAAAAUUUGAGUAGAACUGAUUGGCUCACCAAUUGAAAACUGUAACAAAAAACCCAACUCAGAAAAGGACAUUUACUGACUAAACAACCAAAGAAGUAUUAUGUACCUGCCUAUCAGACUGACAAAAUUUUUAAAGUCUGAUGUUAACAAUCAUUGGUGAGGAUGUGAAGAAACAAGACCUCAUGGUGAUGAGAAGAUAAAGAAAUACAACUACUUUAGAAAGCCAUUUGAAUGAACAGACUACAUGAAUGAUAAGAUAAAUGGAGCUGAAAUGAGGGAAGAGGUGGGGGGACCUUUACCUCUAUUUGAACCAGUCUGCAUACUGUCUUCAGGGAAGCCAGGCG